AUGCACGCUGGCGGCGUGCUUAACCCCUGCCAGUCGCACGCAGUGUUUAUUCAAAGUUCUUCGGGAUAGAGAAUAAAUUACUUAGUGGCGGACGGGUGAGUAACGCGUGGGUAACCUGCCUCACACAGGGGGAUAACAGUUGGAAACGACUGCUAAUACCGCAUAAGACCACAGCACCGCAUGGUGCAGGGGUAAAAGAUUUAUCGGUGUGAGAUGGACCUGCGUCUGAUUAGAUAGUUGGUGGGGUAGAAGCCUACCAAGUCAACGAUCAGUAGCCGACCUGAGAGGGUGAUCGGCCACAUUGGGACUGAGACACGGCCCAAACUCCUACGGGAGGCAGCAGUGGGGAAUAUUGGACAAUGGGGGAAACCCUGAUCCAGCAACGCCGCGUGAGUGAAGAAGUAUUUCGGUAUGUAAAGCUCUAUCAGCAGGGAAGAAAAUGACGGUACCUGACUAAGAAGCCCCGGCUAACUACGUG
This 478-nucleotide ribosomal RNA is filed under the name uncultured bacterium. RNAcentral describes it as "partial 16S ribosomal RNA". It matches the Rfam family "Bacterial small subunit ribosomal RNA", at positions 29 to 507 of the family's 1533-position model. The record is from RNAcentral.